AUUGAACGCUGGCGGCAUGCUUUACACAUGCAAGUCGAACGGUAACAGGCCGCAAGGUGCUGACGAGUGGCGAACGGGUGAGUAAUGCAUCGGAACGUGCCCAGUCGUGGGGGAUAACUCCUCGAAAGAGUAGCUAAUACCGCAUACGAUCUAUGGAUGAAAGCGGGGGACCGUAAGGCCUCGCGCGAUUGGAGCGGCCGAUGUCAGAUUAGGUAGUUGGUGGGGUAAAGGCUCACCAAGCCAACGAUCUGUAGCUGGUCUGAGAGGACGACCAGCCACACUGGGACUGAGACACGGCCCAGACUCCUACGGGAGGCAGCAGUGGGGAAUUUUGGACAAUGGGCGCAAGCCUGAUCCAGCAAUGCCGCGUGCAGGAAGAAGGCCUUCGGGUUGUAAACUGCUUUUGUACGGAACGAAACGGCUCUGGUUAAUACCCGGGGCUAAUGACGGUACCGUAAGAAUAAGCACCGGCUAACUACGUG
This 482-nucleotide ribosomal RNA is filed under the name uncultured bacterium. Its description in RNAcentral is "partial 16S ribosomal RNA". It matches the Rfam family "Bacterial small subunit ribosomal RNA", at positions 30 to 507 of the family's 1533-position model. The record is from RNAcentral.